GUGUCAGCAGCCGCGGUAAUACGUAGGGUGCGAGCGUUAAUCGGAAUUACUGGGCGUAAAGCGUGCGCAGGCGGUUCGUUGUGUCCGAUGUGAAAGCCCCGAGCUUAACUUGGGAAUGGCAUUGGAAACUGGCGAGCUGGAGUGUGGCAGAGGGGGGUGGAAUUCCACGUGUAGCAGUGAAAUGCGUAGAGAUGUGGAGGAACACCGAUGGCGAAGGCAGCCCCCUGGGCCAACACUGACGCUCAGGCACGAAAGCGUGGGGAGCAAACAGGAUUAGAAACCCUCGUAGUCC
Molecule: ribosomal RNA, 292 nt
Filed under: uncultured bacterium
Lineage: Bacteria
Description: partial 16S ribosomal RNA
Rfam family: Bacterial small subunit ribosomal RNA
Source: RNAcentral